Rhincodon typus (whale shark) is the source of this 1504-nucleotide long non-coding RNA. RefSeq lists it as uncharacterized. The transcript has 3 exons. The record is from RefSeq and is a predicted model, not a curated record. Lineage: Eukaryota; Metazoa; Chordata; Chondrichthyes; Orectolobiformes; Rhincodontidae.
UGGUAACCUGGAAAAUGACAGGGGGAGUCUCGGUGGGCUGAAUGGCCUCGUGUGCGCGGUCAGGAUGCAGGCCCGUGGUCGGCCACUUUCCCGUCAGAUAGCCACCAACUGGCCGCCCACCCAGGACACUAUUGUUGGGGGGCAGUGAAUGGACCUCUCAGGUUCUGGACUGGAAGGAACCCAAAUUCCACCCCGUGCUUUCCCCUCGGAGUGUCCUCACCCCCUGCCGACAGGCUGUAUCCAGGCUUCUGGAACUAUUUACACAAAACUGCUGGUGAGAAAGCAAGAGGCACAAAAGGGCGAAUGAGGAAAACAAGAGAAUUACAGACCAGUUAGCCUAACAUCUGUGGUGAAGAAAUUGAUGCUGAGUCCACAAUCAAGGAUGGGGGUAACGGAGGACCUUGGAAAUUUUCAGUGAAUCAGGGAUAGCCAAGAAUGGAUUCACAAGAGAUGCUGCCUGACUUGCGGAAUAUUUCCAGAAUUGAGAUUUUCAACACCCACAAUAUUUUGCUUUUGCAAAUACAAUGACAUUUUACUGAAGUUUUUUUUUGUCUUGCACUCAUCAGGACAAUUCACAAGAAACACCAAUAUAAAAAGGAAAACAACAUUUACAUUGUACAAUAAGAGUUCUAAUUGGUUGAUAAGUGGACGCUGAUUGAUAGAGUGUUGUUAUUAAGGAUGCACGAAAUACUGACAAUGACUGACAGAUAACUGUCAAGAUUUAAGUUUUAAUCCAGACAGAUCGACUCCAAUUUGUCACAGCAUUGCUCUAAAUGAGUCACUUGGCCAAAAAAAAACAUCUCUCUCUCUCAUAGAAUAUAAAUGUUGUUAUUGCUUUACAUUGGUAUUUCUUGCAAAUUGCUUUGACGUGUGCAUGAUGUGAACCUUCAACAAAAUGUAUCAUUUUUCAACAAUACACAACUUCUGUAUUACCAAACAACUGUUUUGCUUUUGUUCUCUGUACAUGGUUUGGUUUCUGAAAGUACAAGCAGCACAAGCCAGAAAUCUCUGGUAAUUUCACAUUUAGGACUUCUGUUUCAAUUUGCAACCUCAAAAAAAAAAAUAUCAAUCUAUGGCAAUUUAAUCCUAUGUUAGUUAACAACCAAACCCAGACUUCCACUUCUAGUAAUCAAUAUGAAAUUACAGUUCUGUUACUGGGCAUUAGUGAACAAGAGAGAGAAGCAGAAGAGACCAAAGUAUCUGGGGAAAUCUGGAUCAGAAGUAUUUAGCUGAAUAGGUUGCAGCACGUCUUCUCCUAUGAGGAGAGAUGCUAAAUGGAUAACUUCCGUAUUGCUCAAGUCUGGCAUUUCAGCCAACUUAAUCACCAUUGUUCAAUGGUUUGUAAUGUAAAAGGAAGAUUAUGAGAUGAUGUGUCACACAAAAUACAAAUCUCUCAUUUUGACAUUUGUCUGGAACUUGCGCUCCCAAAAAUAAAAUGAUAAUGUAAUCUUUUAACUCUGUUAGCAAACCCAGACUUAAGAAGAAAUAAAAAUCUUCCAAAACA